AAGAAAAAUGCAGGAUACAACUUUAACCAUGAGAGUGAGUAUCUCUUGGACAUGGCUUAUGUUGCAUAUAAAAAUGGAAGCCUCAUGGACUUGGUGGAUAAAAAUUUGUCUGGCAUUUAUGA
Molecule: non-coding RNA, 122 nt
Organism: Prunus avium (sweet cherry)
Lineage: Eukaryota; Viridiplantae; Streptophyta; Magnoliopsida; Rosales; Rosaceae
Source: RefSeq, a predicted model, not a curated record